CCUACGGGUGGCAGCAGUGAGGAAUAUUGGUCAAUGGCCGGAAGGCUGAACCAGCCAAGCCGCGUGAAGGACGAAGGUGCCAAGCAUUGUAAACUUCUUUUGUCAAGGGACAAAAUCAGGCUCGAGAGCCUGACCGAGGGUACUUGAAGAAAAAGCAUCGGCUAACUCCGUGCCAGCAGCCGCGGUAAUACGGAGGGGGCAAGCGUUAUCCGGAUUUACUGGGGGUAAAGGGUGCGUAGGUGGUAGGGCAAGUCAGAUGUGAAAGCCCGGGGCUCAACCCCGGUACUGCAUUUGAAACUGUCCAGCUGGAGUGCAGGAGAGGUAAGCGGAAUUCCUAGUGUAGCGGUGAAAUGCGUAGAUAUUAGGAGGAACACCAGUGGCGAAGGCGGCUUACUGGACUGUAACUGACACUGAGGCACGAAAGCGUGGGGAGCAAACAGGAGUAGAUACCCCAGUAGUC
Molecule: ribosomal RNA, 460 nt
Filed under: uncultured bacterium
Lineage: Bacteria
Description: partial 16S ribosomal RNA
Rfam family: Bacterial small subunit ribosomal RNA
Source: RNAcentral